RNAcentral lists this unclassified non-coding RNA (198 nucleotides) under uncultured fungus. RNAcentral's name for it is "sequence contains ITS1". The record is from RNAcentral. Lineage: Eukaryota; Fungi.
UUAACUAUUUAAUAGUACUCAGACGACACUAACAUUCAGAGUUUAGGGGUCCUCUGGCGGGCACGCCGGACGCGAAUCCAGGCGUGCUAGGCACGCGGCCCGCCAAAGCAACAUUCUAUAAUGAUACACAAGGGUGGGAGAUCUACCCCGAAGGGCAUGAACUCUGUAAUGAUCCUUCCGCAGGUUCACCUACGGAAA